Molecule: long non-coding RNA, 1625 nt
Filed under: Gossypium barbadense (sea-island cotton)
Lineage: Eukaryota; Viridiplantae; Streptophyta; Magnoliopsida; Malvales; Malvaceae
Description: long non-coding RNA (GBAR_LNC021585)
Source: RNAcentral
GCCCUUGAGAGCACCGCACCGUUUGACUCUCUAAUAACAUUUCCUGAGCACGAUCUGUUUCUAUGCUUACUGAAAGCCACAUCAAAAUUAAUCUUUACAGCCUGCCCGCUCAGUGGCUUCCACCGUAUUGGCUCUCCUGUCUUGACAGGGGUUUUCUGACUCAUCCCAUCUAAUUCUUUCAGAUAAUCUCUUACAAAGUUUGCCACCUCUAAUGCUGUUUUCUGCUUGCCCUCGAGCAGAAGCUUGUUCCUCCCAGUUCAAAUCGCCCAAAUUGCGCCACCAAAGAUUCUACAUUGGUGUCUGGAAUUAGUUUAAAAAAAACGGGGCAUCCAGUCUUUGAAGCUCAUAUCUGAUGCCAACGCCGGCCACGUGAUGUUCAGCUGUUGCCAGAUCUCUUUUGCUUUCUGACAAUCCCGGAAAACGUGCUCCACCGUUUCGACACCAUCCGCACAUUUUGGGCAGCCUGCAGAUCCAGUUAGUCUUCUAUAAUGUAGAUUAGCAAAAAUAGGCCAAAAGUUUUGGGAUGUUCUCCAGUUUGUUAUUUUGAUUUUGUUGGGCAAUUCCAGUAGCCAUAAUUUUUUGUAAAGCGAGGAAUGGGUUUGUCGAUUCAGAGUAGGAUUAGCUCCUUGUAUUCCUUGUAAGAGUAUUCUGUAAGCACUACGAACAGUGUAUUCGCCGAUCGUCUCUCCUUACCAUACAAGGUGGUCUUCCUGGGAACUUUUGCCAAGGGAAUACACAAAAUCCUCUGUGCAUCCUUCUCAUCAAAGGUAGUCCAAACUAACAAUUCUCUCCAUUUUCUUGUAGUUGGGUCUAUCAAAUCUGCCACUGUUUGAAUGUCUAGAUUACUAACUCCAUUCUAAAUUUUGUAAUCUACACUCCCAGGUAUCAAGGCAUCUUCCCUUACUGCAGUGCCCUUGCCUAUUUUCCAGCACAACCCGUCGCAAGAAGGCCCUUAGCUGCCCACACACUUUUCUAAGUAUACGAAGAUAGAUUCCCUAAACUCAAACUUAGAAAUUUCGUAUCUGGAAAAUAUUUAGCUUUUAAUGAUCGAGCGAGCAACAAAUUCGAAUAGCAAAUCAGAUGCCACCCCUACUUCGCAAGUAAUGCCAAAUUAAACUUUGCUAAACAUCUAAAACCCAUACAUCCGUUUUCUUUAAGUUCGCACAAGUGCCUCUAUUUACACUAGUGAGUCCCUAAUUUACUGUGACAUUUUUUUCCACCAAAUGGUCUCGAAUUCGGUAACAUAAAAUACGUAGGGAUCGCAAAAUGGCUUUUAUGAAAACUUUCUUACCUCGUGAGAGGUGCCUAAUACUGCAACCACUUAUCUUCUUUCUCAUUCGGUUCUUCAAGGCCUGAAAAACCUGUCGUUUGCCUUUCCCCACUAUGGCUGGCAAGCUCGAAUAUUUUUUUGGAUCCAGUGACACCCUAACAUUAAGUGUUUGAGAAACAAUUAGUUUAUCCUAAUCCAAUACAUUCGAAUAAUAAAGUAGUAGAUUUGUCAAAGUUGAUACACUAUCUUAAACUUGGUUCAUAUUCACUAAGAAUGUUUUUGAUAAUGUUUGCUCUUUUAUUGCUCGCCUAGAAUAAAAUGCAAUCAUUUGCAAACAUCAGAUGAGAUAUUUGAG